AGUCACUGACAUUAGAUACCCGGGUAGUCCAGGGUGUAAACGCUGCAGACUUGGUGUUGGAAGUCCUUUGGGGGCAUUCAGUGCCGGAGAGAAGUUGUUAAGUCUGCUACUUGGGAGUACGUCCGCAAGGAUGAAACUUAACGGAAUUGGCGGGGGAGCACCGCAACGGGAGGAGCGUGCGGUUUAAUUGGACUCAACGCCGGAAAUCUCACCGGAUAGGACAGACAUAUGAUAGUCGGGCUGAAGACUCUACUUGAUGAUCUG
RNAcentral lists this ribosomal RNA (264 nucleotides) under uncultured archaeon. RNAcentral's name for it is "partial 16S ribosomal RNA". It matches the Rfam family "Archaeal small subunit ribosomal RNA", at positions 719 to 982 of the family's 1478-position model. The record is from RNAcentral.